AGCGAACGCUGGCGGCAGGCUUAACACAUGCAAGUCGAACGGGCGUAGCAAUACGUCAGUGGCAGACGGGUGAGUAACGCGUGGGAACGUACCUUUUGGUUCGGAACAACACAGGGAAACUUGUGCUAAUACCGGAUAAGCCCUUACGGGAAGGAUUAUCGCCGAAGAUCGGCCCGCGUCUGAUUAGCUAGUUGGUGAGGUAACGGCUCACCAAGGCGACGAUCAGUAGCUGGUCUGAGAGGAGUGAUCAGCCACAUUGGGACGUGAGACACGGCCCAAACUACCUACGGGAGGCAGCAGUGGGGAAGUAUUGGAC
Molecule: ribosomal RNA, 316 nt
Filed under: uncultured bacterium
Lineage: Bacteria
Description: bacterial SSU rRNA
Rfam family: Bacterial small subunit ribosomal RNA
Source: RNAcentral